Long non-coding RNA from Hippocampus zosterae (dwarf seahorse), 1414 nucleotides. RefSeq lists it as uncharacterized. NCBI's taxonomy places the organism in Eukaryota, Metazoa, Chordata, Actinopteri, Syngnathiformes, Syngnathidae. The record is from RefSeq and is a predicted model, not a curated record. The transcript is spliced from 3 exons.
AUAAAAUUCUAUGCAUGCGUGCAUGUGGACUGUAAAUAACGGUCGUAUCAUACUGUUAAACCUUCUCCAGAGACUCAAUUUUACAGGAUUAGUGUUCCAACAAACUGACUCAUAGUCGUAAACAACAACAACAACAAAAGUCAGUGAAGAGAAAAAAAAUCUCUCGACAAUACACACAGUGAAACUCCUUUACAACGAAACCUACAUGUGCGAAAAUACACCCUAGUGUGAAACAAUCUUCAUGCAUGAAAGCCAUUCCCUCUGUUCUGCUUCCCCCUACAACGAAUAGUUUGUCUGUUGCGUAAUACGAAAUCCUUUUCUCCACCCUUGCCUCGCAAAGAGGUUCACUACAACGAAAACAAGUCUACCGCAAAAGUCUAAUCUGACCUCAGCCUGCCACAGCCACUGCUAUUGCUUCGCUCGGAAAUGGCAACAGCACCCACCACAACUCGUUUACACGUGCGCAGUAGUACAGGAAGUAUUUGUUAUUGUCAGCACGUGGUUAGAAAUUUCACGAGUAGUUUCAGACACAGCACGAAUGUUGCAUUGCUUGGUAUAAAAUAGUUACAAAACGGACCUUUGCAGACCAAGGCUCUUCACAAGAAGUAAACAAAAGAAAAGCUUUAACACUUGAAGACAGGAUAAAAGUAAUGAAGAUGAAAGAUGGAGGAAGCAAAGUAAAAGACAUUAUGGAAGAAAUUGAUAUACCUGAAAGUGAAUGCUGAUCGAAAAUUCCGCAAUUUCUUUCCUUUUUUUUUUUCUUUCUAUGCUGGCUAUGAAGUGUCAAAUAAGUGUAUGCUCAUACUUAUACACUAUUGGAAUAAAAAUAAAGAGUACACUUACACGUUUUUGUGUGCGUUUGUGUUUACGUCUAAGAACAAAUUUAUUAUAGUGAAAAGUUCCCUGUUGUGAAAAAUGUCUGGGUGCAAACAUGAUUUCGUUGUUGAGGAGUUCUACUGUAGUAAGCUUUUAGUGUGAGCAAAAUAACGUUUAUAUGUUCAUACAGCUUCGUUUGCUAGCAUUAUACCCAGUUGGUGGUAAACGAGGAAAGGGCUUUUUUUUCCUUUUCUAACAGAGGUUAAAACUGAAUAUUCCACCAUCGUUUCAACAAAGCUGUAUAUGUGCCACUAUGAUUGUGCACUUAAGUGCAUGAGAAUGAUUAAGAGAUCGUGAGUCACACCUUCUGUCUCAGAUUGUUUUUUUAUUACAAAAUGAGGCCAGUGAAGGCGUUAUUUUCCAGAACCUUUAAAUCAUGCACCGCUGUUGAGUCAUCCGACAUUUUUAACAUGACAUAAUAAAAAACGUUUUUAACCCUGUCAGGGACAGCGGUUACUAUAGGGGACAGCUUAUUAUGUCAUCAGGUUAUAGAAUGCAUGAAAGGGUUAAUUCCAAAGUCUUUUUUGAUGUUUUGUUU